Molecule: ribosomal RNA, 907 nt
Filed under: Coniothyrium ulmeum
Lineage: Eukaryota; Fungi; Ascomycota; Dothideomycetes; Pleosporales; Coniothyriaceae
Description: LSU rRNA
Rfam family: Eukaryotic large subunit ribosomal RNA
Source: RNAcentral
GCAUAUCAAUAAGCGAGAAAAGAAACCAACAGGGAUUGCCCUAGUAACGGCGAGUGAAGCGGCAACAGCUCAAAUUUGAAAUCUGGCGUCUUUGGCGUCCGAGUUGUAAUUUGCAGAGGGCGCUUUGGCAUUGGCAGCGGUCCAAGUUCCUUGGAACAGGACGUCACAGAGGGUGAGAAUCCCGUACGUGGUCGCUAGCCUUUACCGUGUAAAGCCCCUUCGACGAGUCGAGUUGUUUGGGAAUGCAGCUCUAAAUGGGAGGUAAAUUUCUUCUAAAGCUAAAUACUGGCCAGAGACCGAUAGCGCACAAGUAGAGUGAUCGAAAGAUGAAAAGCACUUUGGAAAGAGAGUUAAAAAGCACGUGAAAUUGUUGAAAGGGAAGCGCUUGCAGCCAGACUUGCCUGUAGUUGCUCAUCCGGGUUUCUACCCGGUGCACUCUUCUAUAGGCAGGCCAGCAUCAGUUUGGGCGGUUGGAUAAAGGUCUCUGUCAUGUACCUCCUUUCGGGGAGAACUUAUAGGGGAGACGACAUGCAACCAGCCUGGACUGAGGUCCGCGCAUCUGCUAGGAUGCUGGCGUAAUGGCUGUAAGCGGCCCGUCUUGAAACACGGACCAAGGAGUCUAACAUCUAUGCGAGUGUUUGGGUGUCAAGCCCGAGCGCGUAAUGAAAGUGAACGGAGGUGGGAACCUUUCGGGGUGCACCAUCGACCGAUCCUGAUGUCUUCGGAUGGAUUUGAGUAAGAGCAUAGCUGUUGGGACCCGAAAGAUGGUGAACUAUGCUUGAAUAGGGUGAAGCCAGAGGAAACUCUGGUGGAGGCUCGCAGCGGUUCUGACGUGCAAAUCGAUCGUCAAAUUUGGGCAUAGGGGCGAAAGACUAAUCGAACUAUCUAGUAGCUGGUUCCUGCCGAG